UUGGCUCUCUUUUUUUUAGAAUUUAAAUGAGAGAAACGUCUUUCAAGAAGCAAAGGAAGAUGCAGCCAUCACCUCAGAGGAUGACAGUUUCUUCGUUCAGGUACACGAUGUCUCCCCCGAGCAGCCACGCACUGUCAUCAAGGCACCGCGCUUCAGCACCGCGCAGGAUGUCAUACAGCAGACUCUUUGCAAAGCCAAGUACUCCUACAGCAUUCUGAGCAAUCCAAAUCCGAGUGACUAUGUUCU
Meleagris gallopavo (turkey) is the source of this 246-nucleotide non-coding RNA. The record is from RefSeq and is a predicted model, not a curated record. NCBI's taxonomy places the organism in Eukaryota, Metazoa, Chordata, Aves, Galliformes, Phasianidae.